GUUUGUAGAUGAUGCUAGCUUAUGUCAAGU
This 30-nucleotide non-coding RNA is filed under the name Mus musculus (house mouse). Lineage: Eukaryota; Metazoa; Chordata; Mammalia; Rodentia; Muridae. The record is from RNAcentral.